RNAcentral lists this ribosomal RNA (820 nucleotides) under uncultured eukaryote. RNAcentral describes it as "SSU rRNA". It matches the Rfam family "Eukaryotic small subunit ribosomal RNA", at positions 629 to 1426 of the family's 1831-position model. The record is from RNAcentral.
CGGUGUUUAACUGGCGUGAUGUGGGACGUCCUACCGGUGGGCUUAGCCUCGCGAGGGGCGGCCCAACUAAUAUCCCGUCGCGGUGCUCUUUACUGAGUGUCGAGUCGGGCCGGUACUUUUACUUUGAACAAAUUAGAGUGCUUAAAGCAGGCUAUCCUCGCCUGAAUACUGCGUGCAUGGAAUAAUGGAAUAGGACCUCGGUUCUAUUUUGUUGGUUUUCGGAACCCCGAGGUAAUGAUUAAUAGGGACAGAUGGGGGCAUUCGUAUUGCGACGUUAGAGGUGAAAUUCUUGGAUCGUCGCAAGACGGACAGAAGCGAAAGCAUUUGCCAAAAAUGUUUUCAUUAAUCAAGAACGAAAGUUAGAGGUUCGAAGGCGAUCAUAUACCGCCCUAGUUCUAACCAUAAACGAUGCCAGCUAGCGAUCCGCCAAAGUUCCUCCGAUGACUCGGCGGGCAGCUUCCGGGAAACCAAAGAUUUUGGGUUCCGGGGAGAAGUAUGGUUGCAAAGCUGAAAAUUAAAGGAAUUGAGGGAAGGGCACCACCAGGAGUGGAGCGCGCGGGUUAAUUUGACUCAACACGGGAAACCUCACCAGGCCCAGACACCGGAAGGAUUGACAGAUUGAUAGAUCUUUCUUGAUUCGGUGGGUGGUGGUGCAUGGCCGUUUUUAGUUGGUGGAGCGAUUUGUCUGGUUAAUUCUGAUAACGAACGAGACUCUAGCCUGCUAAAUAGGCGUACCUUAUGGUAUCGCGAAGGCCCCCGGCUUCGGCCGGUGGGUUUUUACUACCAACGUACAAACAAAUCUUCUUAGAGGGACAGGCGG